Molecule: unclassified non-coding RNA, 331 nt
Filed under: Hevea brasiliensis (rubber tree)
Lineage: Eukaryota; Viridiplantae; Streptophyta; Magnoliopsida; Malpighiales; Euphorbiaceae
Source: RNAcentral
GAUUUGGAAGAGCUUUGCACCAACUAAAGAGGCUUGUUUUGAUUGGGCGGUGGUUCAUGAUGCAUGCUUUUCACAGGAUAGUUUGAGGAAAAGAGGCUCUUAACUUUUUAGUAGAUUCUAUCUAUGUGAACACUCUUGUGAUACUGUUAAUCUUCUUUGUCUGCUAUAAUUAUACCUGGAAGAUUUGGACCUUGUUUAUGGAUUUUUUCGGUGUGGCAGGGAAAUUUCAGAAGAAUAUCUGGUUGAUCAUUCCGUCAUGCAUAGCAUGGACAAACUGGAUUUAGAGGAAUAGGAGAUGUUUUGAUGGCAAACAGGAACAACUCAAUUAGUG